Molecule: ribosomal RNA, 489 nt
Filed under: uncultured bacterium
Lineage: Bacteria
Description: partial 16S ribosomal RNA
Rfam family: Bacterial small subunit ribosomal RNA
Source: RNAcentral
GACGAACGCUGGCGGCGUGCUUAACACAUGCAAGUCGAACGGUGAAGGGAUCAGCUUGCUGGUUCUGGAUGAGUGGCGAACGGGUGAGUAACACGUGAGUAACCUGCCCCCUUCUUCUGGAUAACCGCAUGAAAGUGUGGCUAAUACGGGAUAUUCUGGGUCUGUCGCAUGAUGGGUCUGGGAAAGAUAUUGUUUCGGUGGGGGAUGGGCUCGCGGCCUAUCAGCUUGUUGGUGGGGUGAUGGCCUACCAAGGCGGUGACGGGUAGCCGGCCUGAGAGGGUGGACGGUCACACUGGGACUGAGACACGGCCCAGACCCCUACGGGAGGCAGCAGUGGGGAAUAUUGCACAAUGGGCGCAAGCCUGAUGCAGCGACGCCGCGUGAGGGAUGGAGGCCUUCGGGUUGUAAACCUCUUUCGCCAGUGAAGCAGGCCUGCUCCGUGUGGGUGGGUUGACGGUAGCUGGAUAAGAAGCGCCGGCUAACUACGUG